GAACCACAGGGCCCAGCCUUGGCUUGUGGUUCUUUUACUAAAUAUGGAAUAGCGAUAAAGCUUAUGUAUCAUAUUUGUAAAAGAAAGCUAGGCACAUGAAGCAGAAUUAAUUCAUGAGGGAAAAUAUUUAUUUUACUCUCAAGUCUCCCGAAAGUUAUUGUAUUCAUUUAAACUCAAUUUCUAAUUUUUUUAGUUACCCAAAUACUAUUGCAUUAAAUGCAUUAAAGAGAGCAUUGUACCUAGCAGAUAUGUGAGAAACAGUUUGACUUUUUAACCACUAAAAAAUGUCCAAAUAUCAGAAUUUAUUUUAUUUUAAAUUUCAAAAAAAUCCUUAUUUUAUAUGAUAAAAAUCAAGUUGAUUUGUAAGUCAUAUAUAUCAGCUUAUUAUCAAGAACUAUUGCUAUGUAAAAGAACUUAGGACUGUGUAAUUAGAACUAUGUAAUAGAAAUAUUUACAGAAGACUAUAUCUGCCAACAUGAGAUACUCUACCACCAUAACUUAUAUCAAUGACUCUUGUUCUAUCAUCGUGUGCAUUAUAAAUAGUGCAAAAUUUCAAGAAAUUUCCAUUUUGAGAUAUAAGAAAUCAAUAUGCUGGGAAAACUAAUAUCAAACUCUGAAGUAGAUAUAUUUCAUUUUAUAUAUAUUUUAAAUGACCUUUAACUAAAGGUUAAAUUGGAUUGACACACUGAAGAUAAAUUUUUUUAUUAUUAUCAUCAUUAAAUUAUUAUUUUGUGACUAUUACUAUUCAACUAACACUACAUCUGAUAAUAUAAUGAUAAACACAUUCCUUUUUUAUAUUAACUAGCAUUUUUUUCGAGUUUCUUAAAGCUUUGUUUGCAACUCUGGAUGAUUUAUGUGGGACAUGAUAAAACCAAUCUCCACACAGGCUAAUUUGAGACCUGGCAUCAUUGUCUCUCUCUGAACAAUCUGGAAGCUUUUUUAUGGUAGUGAAUUGCUCAUUUGGGGUGCGAGGAUUGAAGCAGGCAAGUGUCUGGGUCAUUAUGUGCUCAGCCAUGUCUUACAUAGGUGUUUGGAUUUGUAUAGCACUGGUUAAUCUGUAAUGUGUUUUAAUUUAGAGACAUAAAUUCUGGCCAGAAUUCUAUGCUUUAAUUAAAUAGUGUCAAGGGAUUGAUCGCAGCAUAUUGAUCCAUAACUGAACAUUUUAUCCAUGAAGUCACAGGUCCAGUGAGUCAUCAUUGCCUAGAAUACCCUACUUCAAACAAUGAAACUCACUUUCAAUCUAUCAUCAUCUUUCACUCUUCAGUGAAACCCCAUGUAGCUUCCAGAUGUGGUUUCAGGAUUUCUCUAUAUUGUUGGAGAGAACAAGAACCUGAGACCUGCCGAACAGCAGGUGCCAAAGAUGCUGCUGUAACACCACAGCCCUCCCAUCUUCCAUCCUCCACUGGCGCUGAGUGGCAGUCCCAUGUGACAGGAAGUGGAGGCAGAGCUGGGCCAGCCCAGGAGCCACGUGCUGGAGCCAGAUACUCUGUUUUUCUACAAAUGGAAAGUUUGUGGCAUCCUUGACUCAAGCAAAUUUUUCAGCACCAUUUUUCAAGAGCGUGUGCUCACUUCACCUCUCUGUAUCGUGUUUUGAUGCUUGUCCUGGAAACCAACCAUGAGCUGUGAUGAAAUCCAGGCAACUGAGUUGUGUUUCAGCCCAAAGCAGCAAAUGGAAUCCAGCUUCAGGACCAUCAUCUGACAUAGGGGAAGAAGACUUACAUAGAAGGCCUAACCAGCACCCAAGAUCAUGCUCAUAGGUGGAGGAGACUUGCUUUGUCUCAGAUGAGACUUUGGACUGUGGACUUUUGAGUUAAUGCUGAAAUGAGUUGAGACUUUGGGGAACUGUUGGGAAGGCAUGAUUGGUUUUAAAUAUGAAUAUAUGAGAUUUGGGAGGGGGUCAGGGGUGGAAUGAUAUGGUUUGGCUCUGUGUCCCCACCCAAAUCUCAUCUUGUAGCUCCCAUAAUCCUCCCAUGUUGUGGGAGGGACCCAGUGGGAGAUGAUUGAAUCAUGAGGGCGGGUCUUUCUCAUGCUGUUCAUGAUCCCAUUCAUGUGAGAAAGACCCAUGUGAUCAUGAAUGGGUCUCACAAGAUCUGAUGGUGUUAAAAAUGGGAGUUUCUCUGCACAAGCUCUCUGCCUGCUGCCAUUCACAAAGGAUGUGACUUGCUUCUCCUUGCCUUCUGCUAUGAUUGUGAGGCCUCCCUAGCCAUGUGGAACUGUGAGUCCAAUUAA
Molecule: long non-coding RNA, 2229 nt
Organism: Homo sapiens (human)
Lineage: Eukaryota; Metazoa; Chordata; Mammalia; Primates; Hominidae
Product: long intergenic non-protein coding RNA 2882
Source: Ensembl